UACGGGGGGGGUAAGCGUUAAUCGGAAUUACUGGGCGUAAAGCGCGCGUAGGCGGUUUUGUAAGUCGGGUGUGAAAUCCCCAGGCUCAACCUGGGAACUGCAUUCGAGACUGCAUAGCUAGAGUAUGGGAGAGGGAAGUGGAAUUUCAGGUGUAGCGGUGAAAUGCGUAGAUAUCUGAAGGAACAUCAGUGGCGAAAACGACUUCCUGGACCAAUACUGACGCUCAUGUGCGACAGCGUGGGGAGCAAACAGG
Molecule: ribosomal RNA, 253 nt
Filed under: uncultured bacterium
Lineage: Bacteria
Description: partial 16S ribosomal RNA
Rfam family: Bacterial small subunit ribosomal RNA
Source: RNAcentral